This is a long non-coding RNA of Mauremys mutica (yellowpond turtle), 856 nucleotides long. RefSeq lists it as uncharacterized. The record is from RefSeq and is a predicted model, not a curated record. Lineage: Eukaryota; Metazoa; Chordata; Testudines; Geoemydidae. The transcript has 3 exons.
GUGUGCCCACUUUGUACUCCCUUCCACAGGUGUAAACAACUACAAAUGGUGCAAAGCAGCGGUGAAGUGUGUAAAGUCCAUAAUCUAGAACUAUUUAGGUACACACCAUUAGAAGGCAGCCGCCCUACUUCAAACCCAGCACAAUCAAGGUGUCCUUCACCAAGACCAACAAACCCUCCUUGAGUAGCUCAUGUGAGGCAGGGAUAAAGCAGCAUCCUACCCAGGCAGCUACCCCAUGGCUGAGUAAAGUAGACACUGUACAGGAGAACAGCAACAGGGACACAGACGGGAACCAGAUUCUCAGGGACAGGUGCCAGGAACAGGAACACAACAGGAACCAGACCUCAGGAACUUUGGUGACAGUCUGACCAUUGGAGCCAACAAGCCAGAAGGAAGAAGAGCACAGGAGAAGGGAACAUAUGAGCUGAACCAACUUAAGAAGCCCGAAAGAGCCCAGAGGCACAUCUGAGCCUCACCGAGGGGGAGCCAAUCCUGUAUUUAAAAUCUAUAAUAUUUCCUGUGAAUGGCAUCUCAUUUUGGCAUCUCAAGUGGGUGGAGCUUCGUUUGUGGGCAGAGCUUUGAAGAGUUCAGCUUCACUUUUUUCUUUUCAAAUCGACCCAUUCUCAAUACAUCUUCUGUUUCUCUACAGAAGGGAUCACUUACCUUGUCAUGUUCUACUUCUCAAUCUGUGCAACAGCACAUGUGAAAAUGUGAUAGUCAAAGAGUUUAACUUAAAAAUCUAUUUGAUCAGUUACAUUGUGGAGACUCUAUAUUUCCAAAGCAGAUGUACUGAAAAAGCUCUUAUAUUCUCAGAUUGAAACAAAGGGUCUUUACAUAUUAUGGACCACAUUUUCAA